UUUGCCUACGGGACGCAGCAGUGAGGAAUAUUGGUCAAUGGCCGGAAGGCUGAACCAGCCAAGUCGCGUGAGGGAAUAAGGCCCUAUGGGUCGUAAACCUCUUUUGUCAGGGAGCAAAGGCGUCCACGAGUGGACGAAAGGAGAGUACCUGAAGAAAAAGCAUCGGCUAACUCCGUGCCAGCAGCCGCGGUAAUACGGAGGAUGCGAGCGUUAUCCGGAUUUAUUGGGUUUAAAGGGAGCGUAGAUGGGUUGUUAAGUCAGUUGUGAAAGUUUGCGGCUCAACCGUAAAAUUGCAAUUGAUACUG
RNAcentral lists this ribosomal RNA (305 nucleotides) under uncultured bacterium. RNAcentral describes it as "bacterial SSU rRNA". It matches the Rfam family "Bacterial small subunit ribosomal RNA", at positions 334 to 635 of the family's 1533-position model. The record is from RNAcentral.